AAAUUGAAGAGUUUGAUCAUGGCUCAGAUUGAACGCUGGCGGCAGGCCUAACACAUGCAAGUCGAGCGGAAACGAGUUAUCUGAACCUUCGGGGAACGAUAACGGCGUCGAGCGGCGGACGGGUGAGUAAUGCCUAGGAAAUUGCCCUGAUGUGGGGAUAACCAUUGGAAACGAUGGCUAAUACCGCAUAACGCCUACGGGCCAAAGAGGGGGACCUUCGGGCCUCUCGCGUCAGGAUAUGCCUAGGUGGGAUUAGCUAGUUGGUGAGGUAAGGGCUCACCAAGGCGACGAUCCCUAGCUGGUCUGAGAGGAUGAUCAGCCACACUGGAACUGAGACACGGUCCAGACUCCUACGGGAGGCAGCAGUGGGGAAUAUUGCACAAUGGGCGCAAGCCUGAUGCAGCCAUGCCGCGUGUGUGAAGAAGGCCUUCGGGUUGUAAAGCACUUUCAGUCGUGAGGAAGGUAGUGUAGUUAAUAGCUGCAUUAUUUGACGUUAGCGACAGAAGAAGCACCGGCUAACUCCGUGCCAGCAGCCGCGGUAAUACGGAGGGUGCGAGCGUUAAUCGGAAUUACUGGGCGUAAAGCGCAUGCAGGUGGUUUGUUAAGUCAGAUGUGAAAGCCCGGGGCUCAACCUCGGAAUUGCAUUUGAAACUGGCAGACUAGAGUACUGUAGAGGGGGUAGAAUUUCAGGUGUAGCGGUGAAAUGCGUAGAGAUCUGAAGGAAUACCGGUGGCGAAGGCGGCCCCCUGGACAGAUACUGACACUCAGAUGCGAAAGCGUGGGGAGCAAACAGGAUUAGAUACCCUGGUAGUCCACGCCGUAAACGAUGUCUACUUGGAGGUUGUGGCCUUGAGCCGUGGCUUUCGGAGCUAACGCGUUAAGUAGACCGCCUGGGGAGUACGGUCGCAAGAUUAAAACUCAAAUGAAUUGACGGGGGCCCGCACAAGCGGUGGAGCAUGUGGUUUAAUUCGAUGCAACGCGAAGAACCUUACCUACUCUUGACAUCCAGAGAACUUUCCAGAGAUGGAUUGGUGCCUUCGGGAACUCUGAGACAGGUGCUGCAUGGCUGUCGUCAGCUCGUGUUGUGAAAUGUUGGGUUAAGUCCCGCAACGAGCGCAACCCUUAUCCUUGUUUGCCAGCGAGUAAUGUCGGGAACUCCAGGGAGACUGCCGGUGAUAAACCGGAGGAAGGUGGGGACGACGUCAAGUCAUCAUGGCCCUUACGAGUAGGGCUACACACGUGCUACAAUGGCGCAUACAGAGGGCAGCCAACUUGCGAAAGUGAGCGAAUCCCAAAAAGUGCGUCGUAGUCCGGAUCGGAGUCUGCAACUCGACUCCGUGAAGUCGGAAUCGCUAGUAAUCGUGGAUCAGAAUGCCACGGUGAAUACGUUCCCGGGCCUUGUACACACCGCCCGUCACACCAUGGGAGUGGGCUGCAAAAGAAGUAGGUAGUUUAACCUUCGGGAGGACGCUUACCACUUUGUGGUUCAUGACUGGGGUGAAGUCGUAACAAGGUAGCGCUAGGGGAACCUGGCGCUGGAUCACCUCCUUAUACGAUGAU
RNAcentral lists this ribosomal RNA (1560 nucleotides) under Vibrio campbellii. Its description in RNAcentral is "bacterial SSU rRNA". It matches the Rfam family "Bacterial small subunit ribosomal RNA". The record is from RNAcentral. Lineage: Bacteria; Pseudomonadati; Pseudomonadota; Gammaproteobacteria; Vibrionales; Vibrionaceae.